GGUGGUUCUCGGGUGACACACCCUGGAAUCAGGCUCCCUCCUCUCUGGUUCCA
Myotis brandtii (Brandt's bat) is the source of this 53-nucleotide non-coding RNA. The record is from Rfam. NCBI's taxonomy places the organism in Eukaryota, Metazoa, Chordata, Mammalia, Chiroptera, Vespertilionidae.